GGUCUAGGUGCGGCACCCCACACAGGAAAGAAGAAAGCAAGCGUCAUUAACAUGAAUUGCCUCGCUUGCCUGAAUUUUUCUAGCACUUCUUGUUUAUUCGUAUGUUUUCUUUAGACUCAUUCCACAUAUAAAACCUGCCACGUGGAUAUUGUCACGCCAGGCAUGAGGAAUGGACUGGUGAGGAGGACUCCAGCAUACACAAAGCUCCUGUGGAGAGCCCUGCUAAUUGCCCUGUGGUCCAGACUCAGCAUCACCGUGAUUUCCUGACAGCAAUCCAGAUGGUUGCAGCCUCUACUGUAGGCAUGCCAGCCUGGGAAGGAGGGCACUGACACCUGCUCAAGGAAGAUGGCUGAGCCCAUUUAUUCUGAUUUACAAAGAUGACACAGAUUCCAGAGUGUUGGCCCUGUGGGACCACAGAGCCCAUUUCUAAACAAUAGACACUGAGGCCUCCUCAGCCAUCCACCUCCCUGCCCUCUGGCCUUGCUUGUAACAGAAAGUUAGCUGCAGCCCUUAAACUCUGUUUGCUCUCUCGUUUUAUUGCUGGCAGAAAGCAGUGCAGUUUAUCAACAUUAUCUCAUAUCGGCAGAUCCCAGACAGUGAAAUGGUAGUUGUUGGGGCCAUUAAAAGCUACUUCCACACUCUGCCUGGUGCAGAAUUUAUAGAGCCUCCCUGUUUUAGGUCCUGGAAAGUACAGAUCGUCUCAUUAUAUGAAAUGACAACCUAGCGCCUCAGAGAUAGGGCAAAUCUGAGUACUCACGGGCCUCGGGUACAACUGGGCUUUUGAGGCUUGUUAAAAAUGAUGCUGAUAAACUUUUAAGAUUUUUAUGGGAUGCAUCCUUUCCUAUGCUCAGGCUUUCAAGGGAAAAUAUACUUCAUCUCAGAAAGCUCUGGCAAAUCCUCUUCUGAGGAAAUUCGCAUUCCUUUCUUAAUCAAUUUUGCUCUUUAUACUCACCUGUAUUUCCACAGUGCAUUUCUGCGUAUGUAUGUUUUCCUCUGAGCUCCUCAGAAACGGAGGCCGAGACAGGAUUCUUGUGUACAUGGUUUAUUGAAGAAGUGCUCUGAGGAAAAUGGAAGUGAAAAUGGAAGUAGGGGGAGCAGGGUGGGGCAAAGAAAGGAGGUGAGCAAAGCAGAGGCCUCGGCUUGAUCCCACAGGGGCUAUGGAGGAUGAGUUAAAUACCCCAGAGAUGGUCGCACCGUGUUGUCAGGAAACCUUUUUGGUUUUUUUUUUUUUGCCCCUCUGUCAGUGAGUCAUAGUCUCUGAUGUGGAGGAGAGAUGUGCAGGGUUUGUUGUAACUCUCAGGCAAGGAGAAUUUAACUCAGGGAAAGGGCGAUCCAUGGUCAUCAUGAUUUGAUGAUCCAUCAUGUGGGAAUUUGUUAGACCUGUCAAUUCUCAGGGAGCUCCUCAGACCUACUGAAUCAGAAACUCUGGAAAUGGGGGCGCAGAACUCAGAGGGUCCACUAACCCUCCAGGUGACUGUGAUUCAUAAUAAUAUUUAAGAACCACUUCUUUAAGUC
Molecule: long non-coding RNA, 1515 nt
Organism: Bos taurus (domestic cattle)
Lineage: Eukaryota; Metazoa; Chordata; Mammalia; Artiodactyla; Bovidae
Source: Ensembl